Molecule: non-coding RNA, 45 nt
Filed under: Schistosoma bovis
Lineage: Eukaryota; Metazoa; Platyhelminthes; Trematoda; Strigeidida; Schistosomatidae
Also listed under: 1 other name
Source: RNAcentral
ACCCAGUUGACGAGUCCUAAAUAGAACAAAACAUGCGUCCUAGAU